RNAcentral lists this ribosomal RNA (433 nucleotides) under uncultured bacterium. Its description in RNAcentral is "partial 16S ribosomal RNA". It matches the Rfam family "Bacterial small subunit ribosomal RNA", at positions 29 to 507 of the family's 1533-position model. The record is from RNAcentral.
AACGAACGCUGGCGGCAUGCCUAACACAUGCCAGUCGAACGAGACCUUCGGGUCUAGUGGCGCACGGGUGCGUAACGCGUGGGAACCUGCCCUUAGGUUCGGAAUAACUCCCCGAAAGGGGUGCUAAUACCGGAUAAUGUCUUCGGACCAAAGAUUUAUCGCCUUUGGAUGGGCCCGCGUUGGAUUAGCUAGUUGGUAGGGUAAAAGCCUACCAAGGCGACGAUCCAUAGCUGGUCUGAGAGGAUGAUCAGCCACACUGGGACUGAGACACGGCCCAGACUCCUACGGGAGGCAGCAGUGGGGAAUAUUGGACAAUGGGCGAAAGCCUGAUCCAGCAAUGCCGCGUGAGCGAUGAAGGCCUUAGGGUUGUAAAGCUCUUUUACCCGGGAUGAUAAUGACAGUACCGGGAGAAUAAGCUCCGGCUAACUCCGUG